UACGGGGGGGGCAAGCGUUGUUCGGAAUUACUGGGCGUAAAGGGCUCGUAGGCGGCCAACUAAGUCAGACGUGAAAUCCCCAGGCUCAACCUGGGAACUGCGUCUGAUACUGGAUGGCUUGAAUCCGGGAGAGGGAUGCAGAAUUCCAGGUGUAGCGGUGAAAUGCGUAGAUAUCUGGAGGAAUACCGGUGGCGAAGGCGGCAUCCUGGACCGGCAUUGACGCUGAUGAGCGAAAGCUAGGGGAGCAAACGGG
RNAcentral lists this ribosomal RNA (253 nucleotides) under uncultured bacterium. RNAcentral's name for it is "partial 16S ribosomal RNA". It matches the Rfam family "Bacterial small subunit ribosomal RNA", at positions 524 to 776 of the family's 1533-position model. The record is from RNAcentral.